RNAcentral lists this ribosomal RNA (267 nucleotides) under uncultured Magnetococcus sp. Its description in RNAcentral is "partial 16S ribosomal RNA". It matches the Rfam family "Bacterial small subunit ribosomal RNA", at positions 426 to 710 of the family's 1533-position model. Lineage: Bacteria; Pseudomonadati; Pseudomonadota; Magnetococcia; Magnetococcales; Magnetococcaceae. The record is from RNAcentral.
UAAAGCCCUUUCAGUGGGAAAGAUGAUGACGGUACCCACAGAAGAAGCCCCGGCUAACUCCGUGCCAGCAGCCGCGGUAAUACGGAGGGGGCGAGCGUUGUUCGGAAUUAUUGGGCGUAAAGAGCGCGUAGGCGGCUUUUUAAGUCAGAAGUGAAAUCCUCGGGCUUAACCCGGGAACUGCUUUUGAAACUGGAAGGCUUGAGUCCGGCAGAGGGUGGUGGAAUUCCCCGUGUAGAGGUGAAAUUCGUAGAUAUGGGGAGGAAGACC